AUUAGGGAUCGACCGAUUAUCGGUCUGGCCGAUAUUAUCGGCCGAUAUUUGGUAUUUUCGGCAAUAUCGGUAUCGGCCAAUUCAGAUACCGAUAUUGCCGAUUAUAUAUAACAGGACCGCCGUGCCCAUUACAAGCCCGGCGGUCCUGUGGGGGCCAGCAGCAAGCGCUGACUUACCUUGCAAGCAGCUCCAGCAGCUCCCUGUGUAAAUCUCGC
This is a non-coding RNA of Pelobates cultripes (western spadefoot toad), 215 nucleotides long. NCBI's taxonomy places the organism in Eukaryota, Metazoa, Chordata, Amphibia, Anura, Pelobatidae. The record is from the annotation of a GenBank genome assembly.